CUUGGGCCAAUGAUUAUAUAGAAACAUGACAAGCAUAUGUCUGAACUUUCCAUGUGGAUUAAGCCUAAUCUUCUCUAUGAGGCCCUUU
Molecule: small nucleolar RNA, 88 nt
Filed under: Oryza sativa (Asian cultivated rice)
Lineage: Eukaryota; Viridiplantae; Streptophyta; Magnoliopsida; Poales; Poaceae
Description: Z191b small nucleolar RNA
Source: RNAcentral